RNAcentral lists this transfer RNA (102 nucleotides) under Nemania diffusa. RNAcentral describes it as "tRNA-Met". It matches the Rfam family "tRNA". From Rfam's summary of the family: Transfer RNA (tRNA) molecules are approximately 80 nucleotides in length. The record is from RNAcentral. Lineage: Eukaryota; Fungi; Ascomycota; Sordariomycetes; Xylariales; Xylariaceae.
GUCUUGGUGGCUCAGUUGGUCAGAGCGUUGGUCUCAUAGAGAUAUGAAGCACUCUCAGAGUGAGCUAUCCAAAGGUCGUGAGUUCGAACCUCACCCAGGACA